This 75-nucleotide transfer RNA is filed under the name Aeromonas phage vB_AsaP_MQM1. RNAcentral describes it as "tRNA-Gln". It matches the Rfam family "tRNA". Rfam says of the family: Transfer RNA (tRNA) molecules are approximately 80 nucleotides in length. Their secondary structure includes four short double-helical elements and three loops (D, anti-codon, and T loops). Lineage: Duplodnaviria; Heunggongvirae; Uroviricota; Caudoviricetes. The record is from RNAcentral.
UAGGGACUAGCACAGCGGCUAGUGCAACUGGCUUUGAACCAGUAUAGUGACGUUCGAUUCGUCAGUCCUCUGCCA